GCCUAUCUAAUACAAACAAGUAUACUUGACUUCCAAUCAAGAAAUUUGCACAAGCAAGAUAGACA
This 65-nucleotide transfer RNA is filed under the name Stylotermes sp. Chi-131. RNAcentral's name for it is "tRNA-Gly". Lineage: Eukaryota; Metazoa; Arthropoda; Insecta; Blattodea; Stylotermitidae. The record is from RNAcentral.